UACGUAGGGUGCGAGCGUUAAUCGGAAUUACUGGGCGUAACGUGUGCGCAGGCGGCGCUGCAAGUCGAGUGUGAAAUCCCCGAGCUUAACUUGGGAAUUGCGCUCGAAACUACGGCGCUGGAGUAUGGCAGAGGAAGGUGGAAUUCCACGUGUAGCGGUGAAAUGCGUAGAGAUGUGGAGGAACACCGAUGGCGAAGGCAGCCUUCUGGGCCAAUACUGACGCUCAUGCACGAAAGCGUGGGGAGCAAACAGG
This 253-nucleotide ribosomal RNA is filed under the name uncultured bacterium. RNAcentral's name for it is "partial 16S ribosomal RNA". It matches the Rfam family "Bacterial small subunit ribosomal RNA", at positions 524 to 776 of the family's 1533-position model. The record is from RNAcentral.